This is a long non-coding RNA of Engraulis encrasicolus (European anchovy), 632 nucleotides long. RefSeq lists it as uncharacterized. The record is from RefSeq and is a predicted model, not a curated record. Lineage: Eukaryota; Metazoa; Chordata; Actinopteri; Clupeiformes; Engraulidae. The transcript has 2 exons.
AGCGUGCACAGUUUGUAACCCUGGAUAAUGAACAUGUUGGCAGACAGACAACAGGCUACCACUGAAGGUGAACUCUGUUGGGCGAAACCGUAUUCAAGACAACACAGAGGUUGUGUUUCAAAGCCCAUCUACGAGAAAACCACACAUGCCUUCAGGAAGGAAAAGUAUGUGCUGGAGUUGAGGGAUGACCCAACCUUUGUAUACACCAGGGACGAGGAACUCUUCUCAUUCGUGGUCCUCCAAGGGUGGUACUAUCACAAAUGUAAUUUCAAAGAUUUACAAACAAAACACGUCAUAUUUGAGAUUUCAUGUGAAACUGCACAUUUCAAUCAUAUCUGGGGCCGGAUUAGACAGGUUCCCCACCUUUGGAGUACACUGAACGCUACAAGACAUCCCUACUACAAAACAAUCCUCCAGUGCUGAGGCCUGACAAAAAAGUAUUUCAGUGGCUAGACAAAGCAGUCGUUUUGGUAGACAGAACUAACACCUAGUCUAACAUAUUUUUUUGUAAUGAGGUAGCUUCAUGGGCUUUUAGUGUUCCCUUUGUUGUGCUGACCGAAUGAUGGACCGCAAAGACAGACUGUGCUGUUGGUAACUGCAUUACAUUUCAAAUAAAGUCCAAAUAAAAACGG